AUUCGUAUGAUUAUAAACUCGCGGUUGCUUACGGCAUGGCGUUAGCCAAGUCGUGUGUCAUCGUGUGUUGCGGAUGAAAAGUGUAGUAUAUUUAUAACGCUUUUAUUUUACAUGUUGUAUAUUAAUGAAAAACUUUUUAUACAAAUUUUAACGACAGAUUGUUCAAGAUGAACAAGCGCCGUAGAACAUCUUCAGUUGCAAGUCGAGGCACAGAAGAUGAUGCUGAUGAUAUACCACCUGAACCAACAAAAAGACGAAAAAAAUUAGAUCCUAGUGACUUGUGCCAACAAUUAUAUGAUGUACUACGUAAUCAAAAAAGAGAAGAUGGAACAUUAUUAUGUGAUGCAUUUAUACGUGUGCCUAAACGUAGACAAGAACCAGGUUAUUAUGAUGUUGUAACAAAUCCUAUAGAUCUAUUAAAAGUUCAACAAAAGCUAAGAACAGAUGAAUAUAGGGAUAUGGAUGAUUUAGCAGCUGAUAUUCAACUCAUGGUUAACAAUGCAAAAGCCUUUUAUAUGCGUACAUCUCCUGAAUAUAAAGAUGCUACUGAACUUUGGGAAUUAUGCAUAAAUACAAAAAAUCGUAUUAUGGAAGAAUACGAAGAUUCAGAACCUAAAGGAAAACUUAUUUUAAAAGUGGGACGAUUAGCUCGGAAAGCUACAACAAAACAAGAAGAUGCAGAAGAUACAUCAGAAAGUUCUACAAAUCCUGAUGAAGAAACAAUGCAACAAUUUGAAGAUUUAUUUGCAGCAAUUAUGACAGCAACAGAUCCAGCUGACAAUAAUAGACCAUUACAUACAAUGUUUCAACUUAAGCCAUCUAAAAAAUUAUAUCCAGAAUAUUAUGAUGUAAUUGAAACACCAGUAGAUUUAAAAACAGUUGCAAGAAAAAUUCAAGAAGGAGUCUAUAAUAGCAUUACAGAUAUGGAAAAAGAUUUAAUGUUAAUGUGCCGUAAUGCUUGCCAAUUUAAUGAGCCUGGUUCUCAAAUUUACAAAGAUGCAAAACUUCUAAAAAAAAUUAUUACUGCAGCAGCAAGAAAACAAGAUAUUGGAUUAAGCAGUGCAGUUCCAAAAAUUGCAACAACUGCACCAUCAACACGAAGUAAAAGAGGAAGUCGCACUAUGGCACAAUCUUUAAUAGCUCAAACUGCAACAUUGCCAGAUGAAGAUGAAGAAAGUGAUGAUGAAGAAGAAGAACCUGCAGAAACUGAAGAAGCUGAUAACCCACAAUGGCAAUUAUUUCAGACUAUUAGAACAGCACCUAAUAAUCAAGGAGUUAGAAUGAGCGAAUAUUUUUGGAAACUACCAUCAAAAAGAUUAUAUCCUGAUUACUAUAAAACGAUUAAAAAUCCUAUUUCUCUAUUACAAAUUCGUACUAAGAUAAAGAAAGGUGAAUAUGGUACUGUAAGUGAAGUAGCUGGUGAUAUGAAUAUAAUGUUUGAAAAUGCAAAAAAAUAUAAUAUUCAUACAUCUAGACUUUAUAAGUGUGCUGUGAAAUUACAAAAAAUUAUGCAAGAAAAAGUACAGGAACUAUUAGAAUUUGAUCAGGAUUCAGACUCGGAUAGUGAAUUUGAAAAUAGCUCUCAUCAACCUAAACUUAUUAAACGUGCUUCAAAUCUCUUAACACGUGGAAAAUAUAAAGACAAUAUACCAUUGAAAAAAAGAUUGUAUGCACUAGUUAAAUGUGUUAUAGAAUACGUUUGUGAAGAUGGUCGACAACCAAUGUUAAUGUUUAUGGAGAAACCUUCUAAAAAGUUAUAUCCAGAUUAUUAUCAAGUAAUAGCAGAACCAAUUGAUAUGUUAGCUAUUGAAGCUAAUAUUAAAGCAGAAAAAUAUCAAAGUGAAAAUGAAUUAAUACAAGAUUUUAAGUUAAUGUUUAAUAAUUGUCGUCAAUAUAAUGAAGAAGGCUCUUUAAUAUAUGAAGAUGCAAAUACUCUUGAAAGAGUUUUAAUGGAUAAAGUAAAAGAAUUAGGUCCUUUACCUGAAACAGGUAAACCUACCAAAUCAAGUGCAUCUACUCCUACUAGAAAUGUUGGGAGACCUAAAAAAGUUGUACCAUUACAUUUACAAAAAUUGAAAACUAUGUAUGAUACUAUAAAAGAUUAUCAUGAUGGAAAAGGAAGACAAUUAUCUUUAAUUUUUAUGAAAUUACCAAAUAAAAAUGAAUAUCCUGAUUAUUAUGAAGUUAUUAAGCAACCAAUGAAUAUGGAGAAAAUAGCGUCCACUUUAAAAAAUAAUGGAUAUGAAAAUUUGGAUGAACUUGUAUCAGAUUUUAUACUAAUGUUUGAUAAUGCUUGCAAGUAUAAUGAACCCGAUUCACAAAUAUAUAAGGAUGCUUUAAUUUUACAAAGAUUAGUUCUCCAAACAAAAUUACAAUUAAGUGAAGAUGAAGAAAGUGUACCAGAUGUAUCAGCCGCAAUUCAAGAAAUAUUAGCAACAAUUUUUACUGCUCUUUAUAAUCAUCAAGAUGAAGAAGGUAGAUGUUAUUCAGAUUCAAUGGCAGAACUUCCAGAACAUGAUAUCAUUGAUGGGAAAAAAAUACGAGGAUUAUCAUUAGAUUUAAUUAAAAGAAGAUUAGAUCGUGGAGUAUAUAAACGAUUGGAUCGUUUUCAAGAAGAUGUAUUCACAUGUUUAGAAAGAGCUAGAAGAUUAUCACGUACAGAUUCGCAACCUUUUGAAGAUAGUGUAGAAUUACAAGCAUUUUUUUUACGUACUCGUGAUGAAGUAACUCGAGGAGGAGAUUUAUUACAUUCACCAGCUCUUAAUUAUACACUUCUUGAUCUUUCUGCUCAAGUUGCAGAAUUAAAACGUGUGAAAUUACAACAAGAAUUAUCAUUACCUAAUGAAGAUGAAAGUUGUGAUGGAAAUGAAACAAAAGAUUCUGAAACAAAUACUAAUACAGAAGGAAGUAAUAGUGAUAAUGGUGGAUCUAUGAGUUUUAAUCAAGAAAUAUAUAGAGCUGGAGAUUUUGCAUAUAUAGAACCUACAGAACGAGGCAUGGAAUAUAGUGUAGUUCUUAUAGAACGUUUAUGGACAAAUGCAGAAGGUCAACAAAUGUUAUAUGGCAAUUUAUUUUAUAGACCAAGUGAAACUUACCAUGUAGCAUCUAGGAAAUUUCUUGAUAAGGAAUUAUUUAAAAGUGAUGCUCAUGUAGCUAUACCUUUGGCUAAAGUAGCUGGAAGAUGUUGUGUUUUAAGUGUAAAGGAUUAUUUUAGAAUGCAACCUGAAGGUUUCUUAGAAAAAGAUGUUUAUGUAUGUGAAUCACGAUACUCUACAAAAGCAAGAGCUUUUAAAAAAAUCAAAGUCUGGAAUUUUGAUCCAGAUCAUUUAAAAUUAAUUUCAAGAGAUAAACCAUUAGAACCAAAGCGAGUAAUAUCAGUAUAUAAAGAAAGAUUAGAAAAGCAUAAAGAAGAAAUUGCUGAAUUAGAAGAAGGAGAAAAAUUAACAGAAAAAGAAAGACCUAAUGUAAUAUUGUAUAACUCAGAUGAUACAGAAAAUACUUAUUACGAGCAAUAUAAUACAUGUGCAGGUUCUGUAAAAACUGGAGACUUUGUUUAUGUUGCAACAGAUGGAGGUAGACAACAAAUUGCGCAAAUUGAUGCUAUAUGGUCAACAAAAGAUGGAAAAUGUUAUUUUAAGGGCCCAUGGCUAUUGAUGCCUGCAGAAGUGCCACAUACUCCUACUAAGUUAUUUUAUAAACAAGAAUUAUUUCUAUCUACAGUUGAUGGCACUCAUCCUAUUGUGGCUAUUGUUGGAAAAUGUGCUGUUCUUGACUAUGGAGAAUAUAUUUGUAGUCGACCGACAGAAAUUCCAGAAGAUGAUGUAUAUAUUUGUGAAUCAUUAUAUGAUGAAAGUAAAAGUCUUAUGAAAAAACUUGGUCAAGAAGGUCUAAAAAAAUUUAAUCAUAAUUCAGCAGUAACUGAAGAUGAAAUUUAUUUCUUCCGAAGACCUAUUAACCCAGCUAAGGUUCCGGGCGAUGUGGCUCAAACGCAAAAUCAAGUCAAGUCUGUUACUUCUAGUUCAACUCAAUUUGAAAUGGAAGCAUCACCAUUGUUACCGAAGCUGGAACCCGAUGUACUAGGCAUGGGAGUAGGAUUAGGAGUGGGAGUAGGAGUAGGAGUUGGGGAGGACAGCAUGGACGCUGGUGGUCCACCGUCCGUUGGAUCUGCAGAAGCUCAACCGGUGCUCUCCAAUACUCAAACACCUGUAUCGACUAAAAAGAAAACGGCGGGUAAGAAAUUAGUUACGGGCUAUAUUUUAUAUUCGAGUAAAAUGCGAACACAGAUUACACAAAACAAUCCUGAAUCAUCCUUUGGGGAGAUUAGCAGAAUUGUUGGCAAUGAGUGGAGGAAAUUGCCAGCAGGAGAAAAACAAGCUUGGGAAGAAAGAGCAAUUAAAAUGAAUGAAGAUGGAGGACAACUUAAAGGAAAUAAUGUUUCAGUAGGCACUAAUGCUUUGCAAGAUGUAGUUUAUGAAUGUUGUUGGGAUAAUUGUGAUUGGCAAUUUGAAGAUAUGACUGAUUGUAUUGAUCAUUGUAUUGCAGAACAAAAUGGGCAUGUUCAAUCAUCUUUUAUUAAUGCUGCAAGCGAUGUGGAAUUUCAAUGUCAAUGGCGUGGUUGUGGCCGUACAAAAAAAUCUGUACCUCCUUUUCCAAGUGUACAAAGACUCGCAAGGCAUGUUAAGGAAGUACAUAUCCUUAAAUCAAAUGGACGUAUAAUACCUCCUUCGGAAAGAAGCAAGUAUGAUGUCAAAGUGCUGUAUAAUAAACUAUAAUAAUACUAUAUUAACCGGCUAUGGUUUAGCUUCGUUUACCGUUGAAAUUAUAUGGCAUCAAAAGGUCCAACGGUAUUGCCACCUAUGGAAACAGAAACAUCGGCAGCUGCGACACAAACAAGCAAUAUUCCUAUUGCCAAACAACCAGAACCUAUGUUUGUCGCUGUUCCUCCACGACCAAGUCGAGUUUUACAUUCAGAUGCCUAUUUACGGUAUAUUGAAGCAUUAAAUGUAGAAAAUCGGUACAUAUCAAAUUGGGACAAACAAAUGAAUGCUAAUCCUGAUAAUACACAAAUUCCUGAUGUAACGAAAUUGCCAGCUGAAUGGUUAGGCAAUGGUGUAGGCAACCACGGAAAUGUGGUAAAUGCUUUAUGGACGCUCAGGAAUAUGAUGAUGCGAGAUGUGUUAGCCAUUAAUAAAACUUUAUAGUUUAUAAUUCGUUAAGACUUAUAAUCUUUACUAUUCGAUGCUACCUUAAAACUACAAUUUUCAGGUCCGUCGAUGCUAGAUGAAAGACUGAAGAUUUAUUGUUUUGAAUGAGUAUAUUUAUAUUUUUAGAUUUUUUUUUAUUUUACAAUUCUAAUUAGUACUUCAAAUAUAACUUAAUUAUAAUACAUAUUUUUAGUCAUUUUCAAUUUGUAAUAAGAGAUAAUUAAAAGAUUUUCUUAUCAUAAGAUUUUCAAUAACAAAUAUAAGAUCUGCAAUAUAUUUAUCAGAAAUAACAGAUUAGUAAAACAUUAAUUUCUUCAUUAAAUAAAAUACAUAUUAUAAGCAUUAUUUUCGAUACGUCUAUGGAUCUGUUAGGAGUAGGACAAAAAUAUUACACUGUAAGAAUCAUCACUUUGUAAAUAUUUCGCUAUUUUUAAUUUUAACUUUUCAUAACGAAAAUUUUGUAUUUUGUAUCACGCAUCAUGAAAGUGUGACUUGAAAUUUCUUGUAUUCAUACUGUAAAAUGAAACUGUACUGUAAAUAUUAAAUAAUGCACUUCAAAAAACAAUUUAAUAUAAAUAAUA
Molecule: unclassified non-coding RNA, 5785 nt
Filed under: Apis florea (little honeybee)
Lineage: Eukaryota; Metazoa; Arthropoda; Insecta; Hymenoptera; Apidae
Description: protein polybromo-1, transcript variant X6
Source: RNAcentral